AAGACUAUACGUCACAGGAUCAUUUCUGUAGUUUCUCUUCAUUUACAUUUUUUGGAAAUCGACCCGCGAUGACGAGGUAUAUCGUUUUAUCUGACAGCGUGAGGUUUAUGAAUUUCAUUUCUAAUUUUGUCUUGUGGCAUAUUAGGAAAGAUGUUUCAUCGAAAAUCGCUCGCUUCUUCUUCUUCUUUACUAGCGUAGAUACCGCUUACGCGAU
Bactrocera dorsalis (oriental fruit fly) is the source of this 214-nucleotide small nucleolar RNA. RefSeq annotates it as small nucleolar RNA U3. NCBI's taxonomy places the organism in Eukaryota, Metazoa, Arthropoda, Insecta, Diptera, Tephritidae. The record is from RefSeq and is a predicted model, not a curated record. The transcript has a single exon.